This 339-nucleotide ribosomal RNA is filed under the name Cicurina sp. TK190974. RNAcentral describes it as "eukaryotic LSU rRNA". The stretch from base 259 to 339 matches the Rfam family "Eukaryotic large subunit ribosomal RNA", at positions 1 to 81 of the family's 3401-position model. The record is from RNAcentral. Lineage: Eukaryota; Metazoa; Arthropoda; Arachnida; Araneae; Dictynidae.
GCGGCCUCGGGUCCUACCCGGGGCCACGUCUGUCUGAGGGUCGGAUUAUGCUUGCAGAAGGGAGUUUCUUCCUGAUUGGUUGUGCCGGCUGCGUCCGCCGACCUAAAUUGUGUGAGUUUUCGACCCCGGCCGAGAGGCAUGCCACGAGAGGAUGUCCGAGAGCGGGAGUGGCAAAGUGCCUGCCUGCAAGCUUGGACCAGUGGUGGAAACCUGUGCUGGGGAAUUCAGAUGUGGAGUCUAUCUCCUACUUAACUUUGUCGACCUCAGAUCAGGCGAGACGACCCGCUGAAUUUAAGCAUAUAACUAAGCGGAGGAAAAGAAACCAACCAGGAUUCCCUC